Molecule: ribosomal RNA, 253 nt
Filed under: uncultured bacterium
Lineage: Bacteria
Description: partial 16S ribosomal RNA
Rfam family: Bacterial small subunit ribosomal RNA
Source: RNAcentral
UACGUAGGGGGCAAGCGUUGUCCGGAAUCAUUGGGCGUAAAGCGUGUGUAGGCGGGCCGUUAAGUAUCUUGUGAAAUCCCCCGGCUCAACCGGGGAAUGGCUGGAUAUACUGGCGGUCUUGAGCGAUCUAGGGGCAGAUGGAACAAGUGGUGGAGCGGUGAAAUGCGUAGAUAUCACUUGGAACGCCAAAGGUGAAAACAGUCUGCUGGGGAUCUGCUGACGCUGAGACACGAAAGCCAGGGGAGCGAACGGG